This 30-nucleotide non-coding RNA is filed under the name Rattus norvegicus (Norway rat). The record is from RNAcentral. Lineage: Eukaryota; Metazoa; Chordata; Mammalia; Rodentia; Muridae.
UGAGGGCACUAGUCAUGUUCAUGGAGGAGU